Molecule: ribosomal RNA, 459 nt
Filed under: uncultured bacterium
Lineage: Bacteria
Description: partial 16S ribosomal RNA
Rfam family: Bacterial small subunit ribosomal RNA
Source: RNAcentral
CUACGGGGUGCUGCAGUAAGGAAUAUUGGUCAAUGGACGAAAGUCUGAACCAGCCAUGCCGCGUGAAGGAUUAAGGUCCUCUGGAUUGUAAACUUCUUUUAUAUGGGACGAAAAAAGGUCUUUCUAGAUCACUUGACGGUACCAUAUGAAUAAGCACCGGCUAACUCCGUGCCAGCAGCCGCGGUAAUACGGAGGGUGCAAGCGUUAUCCGGAUUCACUGGGUUUAAAGGGUGCGUAGGCGGGCAGGUAAGUCAGUGGUGAAAUCCUGGAGCUCAACUCCAGAACUGCCAUUGAUACUAUCUGUCUUGAAUAUUGUGGAGGUAAGCGGAAUAGGUCAUGUAGCGGUGAAAUGCUUAGAUAUGACAUAGAACACCCAUUGCGAAGGCAGCUUACUACGCAUAUAUUGACGCUGAGGCACGAAAGCGUGGGGAUCAAACAGGAUUAGAUACCCGAGUAGUC